RNAcentral lists this non-coding RNA (23 nucleotides) under Cricetulus griseus (Chinese hamster). Lineage: Eukaryota; Metazoa; Chordata; Mammalia; Rodentia; Cricetidae. The record is from RNAcentral.
AAUUUUUGAGAGUGGAGACCGGA